RNAcentral lists this ribosomal RNA (220 nucleotides) under uncultured bacterium. RNAcentral's name for it is "partial 16S ribosomal RNA". It matches the Rfam family "Bacterial small subunit ribosomal RNA", at positions 57 to 305 of the family's 1533-position model. The record is from RNAcentral.
GCAAGUCGAGCGCUCACUUCGGUGGGAGCGGCAGACGGGUGAGUAACGCGUGGGAAUCUACCUAGCUCUACGGAAUAGCUUCGGGAAACUGGAAUUAAUACCGUAUACGCCCUCCGGGGGAAAGAUUUAUCGGAGUUAGAUGAGCCCGCGUUAGAUUAGCUAGUUGGUGGGGUAAUGGCCUACCAAGGCGACGAUGGGUAGCCGGCCUGAGAGGGUGAAC